RNAcentral lists this ribosomal RNA (283 nucleotides) under uncultured bacterium. Its description in RNAcentral is "partial 16S ribosomal RNA". It matches the Rfam family "Bacterial small subunit ribosomal RNA", at positions 335 to 616 of the family's 1533-position model. The record is from RNAcentral.
UGUCUACGGGGGGCAGCAGUGAGGAAUACUGGUCAAUGGUCGGGAGACUGAACCAGCCAAGCCGCGUGAGGGAGGAAGGUACAGAGUAUCGUAAACCUCUUUUGUCAGGGAACAAAGGCGGGGACGUGUCCCCGGAUGAGUGUACCUGAAGAAAAAGCAUCGGCUAACUCCGUGCCAGCAGCCGCGGUAAUACGGAGGAUGCGAGCGUUAUCCGGAUUUAUUGGGUUUAAAGGGUGCGCAGGCGGGCUGUUAAGCCGGCGGUAAAAAUUCAGGGCUCAAACCU